Small nuclear RNA from Talpa occidentalis (Iberian mole), 164 nucleotides. RefSeq annotates it as U1 spliceosomal RNA. The record is from RefSeq and is a predicted model, not a curated record. The transcript has a single exon. NCBI's taxonomy places the organism in Eukaryota, Metazoa, Chordata, Mammalia, Eulipotyphla, Talpidae.
AUACUUACCUUGCAAGGGAGAGCCCAUGACCACAAAGGUGGUUUUCCCAGGGCGAGCCUGUCCCUUUGCACUCCGGACAUGCUGAUCCCUGUGAUUUUCCCAAAUGAGGGAAACUUGACUGCAUAAUUUUUGGUAGUAGGGGACUGCAUUCGCACGCUCCCAUU